This 7080-nucleotide long non-coding RNA is filed under the name Medicago truncatula (barrel medic). RNAcentral describes it as "long non-coding RNA (MTRU_LNC004258)". Lineage: Eukaryota; Viridiplantae; Streptophyta; Magnoliopsida; Fabales; Fabaceae. The record is from RNAcentral.
UAAAAACCUUAACAAAAAAAUUCAAUAGGAUAAAACUUGGUGAGGGAAAGAAAGAGUGCAGCAUAUACACAUAAAAUUAAAUUUAACAGCUAGAUAAACAUAAUUUAUAUUUUUAAAUAAAGAAUAAAAGUUGAAAUAUUAUGAUGUCCCCUAAUUUCAAUUGUGCAAUUAAUGCAGAUUACGAAUAUAUAACCAACAAAUACCAUCAACACACUUUGUAUAAUAAGGUUCAACCGCGUUGGACAAUCACCGUUAGAAACGCAAGGAAUAGCAUAGGUUGUUACUACAUUGUCAAAUAAAGAAAAAAUAUGUUACUUAAAUAUGAUAAACUAGGGUGUACAAAAAAAAAUUAGAAAAUUUUUAAAAUGGUGUGAUAAAUGCAUACACAUUGUUUCAGUCCUCUCGAAUGCCGCUUCUCCAAGAAAUAGAGAAAGAAAGAUAAUCAAAAAAUAAAUAAAUCUUUGUAGAUACUCACCUAGUAAAUGAUGGUUUUGUUGAAAAAAAUGGUUGAAAAGAAAUAAACAAUUUUGAUGAGUUUGUUUGAUCAGGUUCAAAAAAGGAGAAAGAUAUUUUAUUCAAAUGAUCGAGACAAUAAUAUGCAAACUGAUGUCUCCGCCGGUAAAAGCCUCUCCUAAGGUCUCUUCUCUUUUCUAUCCUUUGUGGGAGUUUGAAUCCGAUAGAUUAUCCUUAAUCUGAUCGUUUGUGUUGCUGGUUAACUUCGUUGGAUCACGAUAUCCAAUAUUCCUGUGUUCAAGCUUCUUUCCCUUUCCUCCUUUUGGUGCUUCUCGUUGUGGGUUACAACAUCCAGGAUUUGCUUUAACUCAUGAAUCCUAAGGUCAAUUUCUUGAAUUUAAUUCUAUUUCUGUCCAUGAUUGUAACUGAUUUUGGUUCAAAGUCAACAGAUCUGAUAUCCCUGUAUCUUGGUCUUUAUGGUAUUCAUAAUAUUUUAUUGAAUAUGAAUAUCUUUACUUUACUGAUGAAGAUUCGGUUGUCCCUUUCUAUUCUUUGUGCCGAGAACUAUAAAUUCAAUUUGCAUCUCCUCAUGUUUAAUCAGUGCCUUAUGAAACUUAAUUCCCUCAUAUUGGUUGUCCUCAUAAUUGUUCAUUUUAUCCCUCUUGCAACAAUGGAGAAUCUUAACAUCAACGGCGACAAUGCUUCCUCGUCUAAGAGGCCGAAUCUCACCCAAGCAGAGCUGCUUGAUCUCUGUCUAGUGGGUCGAAUAAUGGUGAACAAACCAGUUCAUUUGGUGACGCUCGAGGCAAGGCUGGGGCCUAUAUGGGAACCAAAAUACCGUAUGACCCUCAUUCUGAUGGAAGGCAACAAAUUUAUGGUUCAACUCUACUCACAAGCAGACCUUGCCAGAAUUCUGGAGCGUAGUCCCUGGUUACUUGAUAACAAUAUGAUAAUCCUGCAGAAGGUCGCUAUUGGAGAGGAUCCUAUGACGAUGGGUAUGAACUCUACGGAGAUCUGGGCACAAAUUCAUCAAUUACCGUUCGGAUUCAUGGAUAAUAAGGUAGGUGCUCUUGUUGGCUGUCAUGUAGGCAGGAUGAUCAAAUUCGAUGAAGAAAAUAACUAUGGGCCUUGGCGCAAAUUCAUGAGAAUCCGGGUUGAAGUUAUGGUGGAGGAGCCGCUACAACAGGAGCUUGUCAUUGAAAGGGAGGAAGGCGAUAAUAUCAAGCUUCUUCUCAAGUAUGAGAAACUCGGUAAGUUCUGUUUUGUUUGUGGUGUUAUCGGACACUCUGAAAAUUCUACAGUGAUAAGUUCGAAACUGAUCCCACAAGUGACAAAAAGAAAUGGGGAGCAUACAUUCGAGCUGAGAACAAUUCAGGUAGUGGUGGUCGGAGUAAGGUUUCCGGUGACCGGAAAGAUGAAAGAAAUGUCAUUAAUGAUAAUUCAAAUCCUUUAAUGACUAUUGAUGAAAGUGGAGUUUCAAAUCACAAGCUUUAUGGCCGCAUUAAAGUUGGUAUUGAUGCUGAAACAAGGUCAUUAACAUUCUAUAAAUACAUGGAAUGUCAAAGAUCUGAUGGAUCCGGACUAGUGAGGUGGUGGACAGAAAUUGAUCCCACAGAAAUCACCACAAGCGGGCCCAAGCAAAAGGAGGUACAGUUUGGUAAGAAAUUAUUUGCACCAAAUUUAACAAAAUCUGAUGAAGUCAAUAAGAAAUUAGCUGAAGGCAUGAAUGAGAAGGAUGAGUUCUUGUAUGCUAAUGGGGGAGGUGCAGAAGCAUUAUGGAAGCUUAUGGAGUUGGAGGCCCAAAAGAGAGAUAGCCCACAAAGCUCAAAGGUUGGGGGCGGUGCAGAUGAGGCGCGUGGGAGUAAGCAAGGUGAGUUGGCAAUAAUGGCAGACAGCAGGGGCCCACACGGUGGACACAAGUCAGCAGGGCACGGAAAACAAGGGAAUCUUGUUUUGUAUAAUGAAACACAGCAACAGGUGGGCCCACAUGUGCAGCAUAAUUCAAUGGAGUCAACACAGCAAUCUUUGGCUUUUAAAAAACUGUCGGCACAGACUUACAGGAAGCUGUUUGCGCAGGAAACAGCCCCAAUUAACGUUUCCUUCAAUGCAAACAAUGCUGUUUUUCAGGUACAGAAAGUGGAUACCAUUCAGCAGCUAACAUCCAAGAAGUAUGAUGAUCAAACAACUGUUCUAUUUCCUCUAAUCACCGCUGCUGACUAUCGUACUACCUUUACUUCAACAAAGGAUAGCAGCAGCCAGCUGACCAGGGCACGAGCAGCAAGGAAGGAAAAAGCGCCAGCCACCAUUCAACAUCAUGCUAAGCUGCGCAAGCCAAUUGUGGCUCGAAAUCCAGUGCAGCCAGGCUCUUUUCUGGCCAGUACAAGAGGCGCUAGCAGGGUCGGUGCACAUCAAGAGGAAGCGGGACCGAAAAAAAGAUCUAGAACCGGUACUGCUGAAGAUGACCACAAUGAUCGAGAAGGGCAGCAGCCUAUGUCUGGGGUGAACAACCCAAAUCAUGAAGAUAAAACGGCGGGACCUGGCAACCAGGCCUGCCUAGGACAAUGAGUACCAUAGCUUGGAAUUGCCGAGGCUUGGGAAACCUGCGAGUAAUUCCAAAAUUAAAAUUCCUUGUCCGGUACUAUAAACCGAAUAUAUUGUUCUUGUCUGAAACUCUAGUUGAAGUUAAUAAAAUUGAAGAUUUCCGUUAUUUAUUGGGUUACGAUUCUUGUUUUGCUCCAGUUCGAAGUAGUAGAGGUGGUGGUAUCGCUUUAUUUUGGCGAAAUACGGUUAACUGUAGUAUUGUUAAUUAUACAGCUAACCAUAUUAGUGCAAAAAUUGAAGAAGUAAGUGGAGAAGCUUGGAUGUUUACAGGCUUCUAUGGGUAUCUAGAAAUUGGUCGAAGAAGAGACUCGUGGAACUUUAUUCGUGGCCUUGCUGGGCAAAUUAAUCUACCAUGGUGUUUAAUGGGAGAUUUUAAUGAUAUUCUCCAUGCUAAUGAAAAGAAAGGAAGGGCUACCAGACCCAAUUGGCUCAUAAGGGGAUUUCGUCAAGUGGUUCAAGAUGUUGGACUUGUUGAUGUUCACAUGGAAGGAUAUCCGUUCACCUAGUUCAAAAGUCUGGGUACUACUCGUGUUGUAGAAGAGAAAUUGGAUAGAGCUUUAGUUACUAGUUCUUGGAUGCAAUUAUUUCCAAAUGCGAAGUUAGAGAGUCUUGUCGCUCCAUCGUCUGAUCAUUUUCCUAUUCUGCUGGACAAAAAUCCAGUGGCUCAGAAUCUUAGAGUCAAAAGAUCUUUCAAAUUUGAAAAUGCUUGGAGAACUGAAGAUGGUAUCAAUGAAGUGGUUCGGGACAGUUGGUCUGGAAGUACAGGUAAUAGUGUUAUCAAUAAACUGUCAAAUUGUGCCGAGGAAUUAUCACAUUGGAGUAAAACUCAUUGUAACAAACUCCGAGUGGAUAUUGAAAACUGUCGAAAGCAACUCGACCGAAAUCGAAGCACCACAGGAAUUCGGGAUGAAAUUCAAUUUGAUAAUUUGAGGCAAAAACUUAAUCAUUUACUUGUGCAAGAGGAUAUGUACUGGUGACAAAGAGCCAAAACUCACUGGUAUCGUGAUGGAGAUUUGAAUACGAGAUUCUUUCAUGCGGCAGCAACUUCAAGAAAGAAGGUUAACAAAAUUCUUUCCCUGGAAACUGAUGAAGGGAUUCGAGUGACUGAUGACACUGGGAUGCGGUCCAUUGCAAGAAAUUACUUUGAAAAUUUGUUUGAAGGUCAGGAAAGUGUUCGCUCUAGAGUGGUCAACAUGAUAAGGUGAUUGAUGAUGAUGAUAAUGUUCAGCUAACCUCACCCUUUUGUAUAGAAGAAUUCAAAGAAGCAAUGUUCUCCAUGCAACUGGACAAAUGUCAGGGUCCUGAUGGUUUUAAUCCUGGGUUUUAUCAACACUUUUGGUCAGUAUGUAGUGAGGAUAUUUUCAAGGAAUGCUGUCAAUGGAUGAAUGAAGGACAGUUUCCCCCUACGUUGAACUCUACAAAUAUAGCCUUGAUCUCCAAAGGCACAGAGCAAAAAUCUAUGAAGGAUUGGAGAUCCAUAGCUUUGUGUAAUGUUUUAUACAAACUUCUGUCCAAGGUCCUGGCUAAUCGUUUGAAGAAAAUUUUAUCUAAGUGCAUUGCUGAUUCUCAAUCGGCUUUUGUACCGGGUAGAUCCAUUCUAGACAAUGCUUUGGUUGCCAUAGAGUUGAUUCAUCAUAUGAAGACUAAGACUAAAGGAAAAGAUAAAAGUGUGGCGCUGAAGCUGGAUAUAAGCAAGGCUUAUGAUCGUAUUGACUGGUCUUAUCUUAGAGAUGUCAUGCACAAAAUGGGCUUCUCAGAGAAGUGGAUCCAAUGGAUCAUGAUGUGUGUAGAAACUGUUGAUUACUCAGUUAUCAUGAAUCAAGAGGUGAUAGGACCUAUAAUUCCAGGUCGCGGGUUAAGACAAGGUGAUCCUUUGUCACCUUAUCUCUUCAUUCUUUGUGCUGAAGGUUUAUCAGCACUUAUCAGAAGUGCUGAAAGUAAUGGGGUUCUUGAAGGUGUGCGGAUAUAUCGUCUUUCUCCGAGGGUAUCUCAUCUUCUGUUUGCUGAUGAUUGUUUCCUGUUCUUUCAAGCGGAGGAGAGACAAGCAAUCAUGAUGAAGCAAAUUUUAACUUAGUAUGAGGAAGCGUCAGGGCAAGCCAUUAGCCUACCCAAGUCUGAAAUCUUUUAUAGCAGGAAUGUGGCAGAACCAUUACAUCAAUCUAUCACAAAUAUUUUGGGUGUGUGUGCAGUUUUAGGUACUGGUAAGUAUCUGGGUCUCCCUUCAAUGGUAGGCCGAAGUAAGAAGGCAACCUUCAGCUUCAUCAAGGAUAGAGUUUGGCAGAAGAUUAGUAGCUGGAGUAGUAAAUGCUUGUCCAAAGCAGGAAGGGAAGUCAUGAUCAAAUCAGUUCUUCAAUCUAUUCCUUCGUACAUUAUGAGUAUCUUCAGGCUACCAAAUCAGCUAUUAGAUGAAAUUGAAAAAAUGAUGAAUACCUUUUGGUGGGGUCAUGGUGGUUCCAACAAUAAAGGUUUGAACUGGCUAUCCUGGGAAAAGCUUUCUGUCCACAAGAAUGAUGGAGGCAUGGGUUUCAAAGAUCUGGAAGCUUUUAAUGUGGCAAUGCUUGGUAAACAGGGUUGGAAGCUGCAAACUAAUACAGAUAGCCUUGUCUCAAAAAUCUUUAAAGCUAGAUACUACCCGAAUGGUAAUUAUCUAGAUGCCAAGUUGGGGCAUAAUCCGAGUUUUGUCUGGCGUAGUAUUUUCAGUGCUAAGGUGGUGGUCCGACAAGGAGCCAGAUGGAAAAUUGGUAAUGGUUUUAAUAUUCCUAUUGUCAGCGAACCAUGGAUUGGAUCAGGGCUUAGCAUUCCCCGUGUGGGUGAUGACAUGAUAGCCCUACAAUCAUACUCUGUAGGUCAUCUUAUUGACCAAGAAGGUAAGGUUUGAAAUGAACCGUUGAUCCGUCAACUGUUUGUGGAAGAUAUGGCCACUAAUAUCUUAAACACUCCUUUACAUCACCAAGUUUCGACGGAUAAAUUGAUAUGGAAGGCGGAGUAGAAUGGACUUUAUUCUGUCAAGAGUGCCUAUCGGAUUUGUAUUAAAGAGGUUAUAAAUAAUGAUCAUCUGUGUAGACCGGGGUAUUGGAGUGGUAUCUGGAAACUGAAGGGUCCUCCCAAAGUCAAAAGUUUGAUUUGGAGAAUCUGUAGAGACUGCUUUCCAAGAUCAAUUGAUAUUUGGCAAACAACCAAUUUGUGGCAUUUGAUUUCACCGGCUUUUAAUCAGUUUGAUAAAGCUCCUGAUAUCAUUUUUAAUUUCCUGCACAAUCUGUCGGCAGCUCAAAUUGAGAAUGUUGUUACUAUAACGUGGAGUAUUUGGAAGGCUAGGAACCUGAAGUUAUGGCAACAGGUGUCUAACUCAACUACAGCCAUCCUGGAAAGAGCAAAACACCUUCUUGAUGGUUGGAGGAAGGCCAAUCGGAAGCGAGUUCCUAUAAUGUCAGAUAACCAAGCUCUACUCUCGAGUGCCUCAAAUUCUAGUAACAAUACAAAUAUUAGAUGGAGGAAACCAGAAAGCGGUAGAUACAAAUGCAAUGUUGAUGCCUCUUUCCCUACCAUGAUAAAUAAAGUAGGCUUUGGAAUGUGUAUCAGAGACUCGGAUGAGAAUCAUGUUCGUUCAAAAACUAUGUGGUUUAACCCAACUUGAUCUGUAGAUGUUGGGGAGGCUCUGACAUUAAACCAUGCGAUUCGGUGGAUUCAAGAAAUUCAACUUUUAAAUGUUGAUUUUGAAGUUGACUAAAAAAGAGUAGCUGAUUAUUUCAACAAUGGUCGUGGAGAUGUCACCGAAUUUGGCUCUAUUAUGGACAGUAGUGUCCAUUUCCGCAAUAAUUAUUUAACAAACUCUCAUGUCGAGUUUAUUAGGAGGCAAGCAAAUGAGGUUGCUCAUGUUUUAGCUAAGGCAGCCACAUCUAGUACUAGCUUCCAGGUGUUUGAUGAUAUUCCAGCAUGUAUUACUGAUCUAAUUUUUAAUGAAAUGAUAUAAUUUACCUUUUCUCAAAAAAAAAAAAAAAAUAAACAGAAGAAAUUGAGCCAUAUUUU